RNAcentral lists this ribosomal RNA (253 nucleotides) under uncultured bacterium. RNAcentral describes it as "partial 16S ribosomal RNA". It matches the Rfam family "Bacterial small subunit ribosomal RNA", at positions 524 to 776 of the family's 1533-position model. The record is from RNAcentral.
UACGAAGGGUGCUAGCGUUGCUCGGAAUCACUGGGCGUAAAGGGUGCGUAGGCGGGUCUUUAAGUCAGGGGUGAAAUCCUGGAGCUCAACUCCAGAACUGCCUUUGAUACUGAAGAUCUUGAGUUCGGGAGAGGUGAGUGGAACUGCGAGUGUAGAGGUGAAGUUCGUAGAUAUUCGCAAGAACACCAGUGGCGAAGGCGGCUCACUGGCCCGAUACUGACGCUGAGGCACGAAAGCGUGGGGAGCAAACAGG